UUUUUAGUAUAAGUAUGUCCCACAAUGUAUUUGGGAUAUACUUAUGCUAAAA
This 52-nucleotide microRNA precursor is filed under the name Equus caballus (horse). RNAcentral describes it as "mir-1302 microRNA precursor family". It matches the Rfam family "mir-1302 microRNA precursor family". The record is from Rfam by way of RNAcentral. Lineage: Eukaryota; Metazoa; Chordata; Mammalia; Perissodactyla; Equidae.